GGGGGGGGUGGUCAUCUUCUCGAACUUCCUUUUCAUUAGGCUCAGGCUCAGCGAGGUUACUUAUUUUAAUUUUAGCUUUUGGAUUUGAUGUUCCAGGAACUGGAUUAGAGUCAGUCAUAUUAGGGGCACUAAAAAUGACGUCAUAUAUUUUUUUUAGGUUUUGGUUCCAUCACUUCACAAAAUUCACAAACUGAUAAUUUAAAAAUUAGUAAUAGGCUUUCACAAAUGUAUUAUAGACGACUCAACUCAAACAAAACUAACAGUAUAUACGGUAUGCUGUUUGAACUCAACCACUACGACUAAGACUUUCAGCUACGAUAACAGCUUAAUACAAGCACUCAUAACAACAUAGAGACCGGGAACGCGAAUAACAUGUCUCGACAUGUCUGUGUAAGUAUACACACCCUGCAGUUAGUAGGAGAUGGAUGAGUUGCGAGUUACAAGAGUUGUCUAUUGCACAGUGCCUACAACUACCUUGAUACCACUCAACGGACAUAUAAAUGAUGUGGGUUUGUUCUGGCCUUUUUAUUAUCCAGCGACUCGUCACCCGCCUACCACUUUUUACAGGCGGGUGGCGCUCCAGUACACAGCUCCGGCUCUAGAUGCUAUGCCGGAGCGACGCUCCGCUUCUUAAAGCUGUGCCGGAGCGCCGCUCCGGCCCCACUACACCACUGCCCCCAAGUAAUUCUGACAAGUGUCAAAAGCCAGCAAGUCCAGUUUUUCAGAUAUUUUUAAAUUUUGUAGGCCUGCUGAAUGUUGCCAUAUAACAUUGUAAUUAGUUUCCAAAUUAAAGCCAAAAUAAUUUGCAACAAAAUGCAAGUAUAUUUGUGAAACAAAACUCUAGUAUGAGUUUAACUUCAGUAGUAGGUAAUUUACUGUUGUGUGUGUGUGUGUGUGUGCGUGUGCGUGCGUGCGUGCGCGAGCAUGCAUUUUUUCCAUGAACCUUUAUAACACAAGUUGAUGGAAGUGUUUUGAGGGAAAUGUGAUCUUGGGUACAAAGCUAAAUAUGAAACCUCCUCCUCCCUGAUUAAUACAUGUGGUUAAUAUUGUUUGUAGCACCAAUUAUUUGCAGUUGUGCGUCUGUGGUGUUUUAAAUGAAAAUAGGUUGUAUAUAAGUGAAAUUAUUGUGAAAUCGAUUAAUGAACUUGAUGGUACCUUUGAUAACAUCCUAACAUCUCGUUAAAAAAAAAAUGAUAUUUAAUUUCAUAACUUAUUUUGAGUCUUGUUAUUUGUUAAACUGUUCGUUAAAUAUGUUUCAGAAAAUGACUGAGAAGUGUUUUAGAAAGUGUGUACAAACUCCCGGAACUUCAUUAAGCACCUCUGAACAAAAAUGUGUAGCAAUGUGCAUGGACCGAUACAUGGACUCUUGGAACACAGUCUCCAGAGCAUACAGUAACAGAAUAGAACGGGAAAGAGCUCGGAACUGAUAGUUAAUAAGUGUUAUUUAGUCGGACAGUACAUUUCUUAAUUUAUAGUAACAGUGUUGUAUGGAAUUUGGAAAAUCCUAAGUGAAAGCUUAUUCCUACCAGUCUGUGGUGUAGAAAAUCCACUAUAAUGUUGUAUGGGAAACAAGUUGAACUGAAUGUAUUGGAGCAAUUAAUGUUAAAUUUAUGUUGUUGACUUUCCCUUAGUCGAAACAACAUGUAUUCAAAAUUAUAAGUUGAUAAGACAAAAAGUGAAAAGUGUUUUAUGUUGCUGGUUUUGGUUACUUACCAGUGCUGAAUGCUUACUGUGUAUAGAAAUAUAAAAUUUUCUAGUAAAUCAAAUACAAAAAUU
Long non-coding RNA from Homalodisca vitripennis (glassy-winged sharpshooter), 1776 nucleotides. RefSeq lists it as uncharacterized. Lineage: Eukaryota; Metazoa; Arthropoda; Insecta; Hemiptera; Cicadellidae. The transcript is spliced from 2 exons. The record is from RefSeq and is a predicted model, not a curated record.